This 60-nucleotide microRNA precursor is filed under the name Podarcis lilfordi (Lilford's wall lizard). The record is from RNAcentral. Lineage: Eukaryota; Metazoa; Chordata; Lepidosauria; Squamata; Lacertidae.
UGCAUGUGUGUGUGUGUGUGUGUGUGUGCGCGCACACACACACACACACACACACAGGCU